This 59-nucleotide non-coding RNA is filed under the name unclassified sequences. The record is from RNAcentral.
CCUUGACAGAAAGUGCACAUGCACUUUUUGACAUUUGCCAAGACAAGGAGUGUAACAUG